Molecule: ribosomal RNA, 1320 nt
Filed under: Triticum aestivum (bread wheat)
Lineage: Eukaryota; Viridiplantae; Streptophyta; Magnoliopsida; Poales; Poaceae
Description: partial small subunit ribosomal RNA
Source: RNAcentral
AUGCUGAACUCAGACAGUGCUGACGUUGUUUUAUAUUCCCUAUGUCAGAAGUACCGAAACACUGACAAGUUGAUAGUUCCCAGAUGGAUUCUUUUCCCUACUUUUGAUGCGCCGUCACUUGCGGCUACCAUGAAGCCUAGUGAAGAAUCUGGGCAUUGGUGCUUGAUUGUUCUGAAUUUGAGGUUCCGUCGUUUUGAGUGUCUUGAUUCACUCCGUGAUGAAACCUGGAGUGAUGCAGUUAGUUUCUUAAGGACUAUGAUAGAUAACAUAAAGAAGCUUUGGAGGGAGUCCAGCGUAGACAGGGCCAAACCGUUCUCGCCGCCGCAUAUUGAUGGUUUCUCUUGCGAGUUUGUGCGGGUGCCGCAGCAGAGAAACACCCAUGAAGACAUUCUUGACAUUAGGAAAACUUUUCUGUAUACCUGCGUAACUAGCGAUGUGUUUGAUGUUGACUUCUGGGGUUUGUUUGGCAUCGAACCCUGUGAGUGGUUGGAUCUUGGUGAGCAUGACUACAGGAUCUUUGGCAGCCAGUUCUCGGAAAGAUCUGGUGUUAUGAAGGGGCGGUUGGGAGCUCUGAAAGGUUCCACGGCUGCUUGUGCAGAUAGCCACAGUACACCCAAGAAUCCCAUUGUGGAAUUGAUAGACAGCGAUGACGAUGCGUUUGACAAAAUUACUGGCAUUGGAAGAGUCACCAGGAGCGCUGCUGCCAAGGGUUUAUCCCCCCUUGCUGGAAUAGUGGCCCGUAGAGCUAGUGCUGCUAGGAAGGAUCCUACUAUGGAUUCUGGCAAUGUUACAAGCACGAAGCGUGCACCCAGAGCUCCUAUAAAGUUUUGCUCCCCUGUGCAACAGCUUCACCCUCAUAAUUUCCCUCACCUGGACAAGGCUCGCAAGUUGUACAAUCUGUUGCUUAGUGAUGAAUGGCGUGAGAAGUAUGCCGAGAAUGUGUUCUCAAUGAUACCUCAGCCUGAUGAAAGCGUAACUAGCUUCACUGGGAAACGCAUCUGGGAAGUUUUUUCACCUGGGCAAAUGAUGGAGGGUGAUAUAAUGGACUUCCUCAUUGAUGAUUGGAAGCAAGAUCCCGAGAGAAAUGCUGAUUUUGCAUCUAGGAAAAGGGUAUUGCUGAGUCCAUAUUUCAUCACGGUUGUGCUUGACUGUACAUUUUAUGGUGGUGAAGAUAAAGAGUUUAAUGUGGACAGUGCAGCGAGAGAUUUCAAGAGCUAUGUUAAAGAUAAGGAAGACUUGCUCAGUGCCGACCUUAUUUCUAGAUUGGUUCAAGUAAUGAAGGCUGUGUAUGGUGAUGCUCAGUACAAUGCGAGCAAGUAG